Long non-coding RNA from Bombyx mori (domestic silkworm), 533 nucleotides. RefSeq lists it as uncharacterized. Lineage: Eukaryota; Metazoa; Arthropoda; Insecta; Lepidoptera; Bombycidae. The transcript has 2 exons. The record is from RefSeq and is a predicted model, not a curated record.
UGGAACUGUUGGUGUGUAAAUGAUUCCUAUACCAUCAUCAGCUACCACAAAAACUUCCUUCGUAUCACAUGCCACACCAUCCAAACGCAUAUUUCAAUUUCAAUAAAUGUAACUAACUCAUGUCCUCGGUAAUUGAACGCUCUCCUCAAAACGAGUGCUUAGUGGUAGGCAGAGGUUGACCGCCGCCUUUGCAUAUGACCAGAAGCGAUAGCCACGUAUUAAGAUCAAGCGAAUUUGAAGAUAUGACCGGCCAAUUGCCAUUACGCGUUUGGCUAUGGCGCUUAAUCUCUGUCCGCCAAAACUUAUACUCAGAAAGGGACGGCUGCGUAACCUCGCAGGAGUGAAAGAGACGCACAAUAGAAACCGCUUCCGGUGUGGCGGCACGUAGACAUGUUUUUUUUUUUAAUUGUUGCUUUUUUGUAUUGCGGAAUAUUAAGUACAUUUGUAGGUGAACUACUUGUUUAUAAUAUACUAGCGACCCGCCCUCGCUUCGCUUCGGAAACAUUAAAACACACAUGAAACCAAUAAAAGAA